AUAUAAAUGUAUCUUACAUAAAGUAUCUUAUUGUACUGUAUUCACCUAUUUUUGGACUAUGGUUGACUGGAUAAAUGAGACCACAGGAAACAGAACUGCGGAGAAGGGAGUUUUGAAAGGUAGUUCAAAUAGUAGAUAGCAGCUGAAGGAUUGCCGAAGUUUUGAAGCUAUUACAGCGAAGCCUCAUCUCCAAGGUUAGCGGAAUCCCUUGUGGCAGUUUUACCAAUUGGAUUUUUAAUGUUUCAUUCCAUUUUAGCUCAGCUUCUAGGACAGAAUCUGUGAUAUAGAGGUGAAUAAUAUAUUCAAAUGAACGAGGAAGACAGCACUGUCACAGUCACAGGGUCCCAGAAAGGGCCUGCUGCCCUCUCAUGCCUGCCACCCAUGCUACAGCACCUUCCCCAGACACAGCCUGCCCUUCUUCAGCACUCCCACCCAAACUGCUUUUCAUUUCUGUGCCUUUGGCAAUCGCUUUCCCUCUAAUUGUCUCCAGUAUCAGGCAGAAAUGUUAAUAUGAGCUCUUACUCUCUUCCCCUGUUCUCUUGGUUUCUUAGAACAUUCUAGAGAGUGUCUAGUCAUAGUGACAGCCUGUGUCUCUGUGUUCCUUGCUUUUCUUCAUCUGAUCAAAUAAUACUGAGGAACCGCAUCUUGGUCCCUCUUCAGUUUGUCCAAAUACCAUGUCCAGGCCAGCAUGGCAGCUUCCACCCUGCCUUUGAGGCAGUCAGGUGGGACGAGGGUCCCUGGAGAAACUCCAACCAGCCUUCCGCCUGAGGUGGAGCCUCCAGAAGUCACACCUUUUGCAGCCAGGAGGAGUUUGGCCCCACCUCCUCCUGUUAGAAAGCUGGGAUUCAAAGGGUCAGCUGGAAGCACUCUGGCAGGGGACCCUGGCCUGGCCUAAGAUCCCUGUUUCUCCCUCUCCGCGUUUUUUUCCCAUUUUGCCCAGUAAUACCCUGCUUUACUCACCCUUUAAACCGUCUGCGCGCCUAAAUUUUCAUGGCGGUGGGACAGACAAGAACCCCAUCUUUAGCUAAACCAAGGAGGAGUCCUGCAACAUUUUUGGCAUGCAGCGUGGGGGCUGGAGAAGCGUCAUAACCCUUAAAGUUGAUUUCCUCUGUGUGACCAUUUUCUGUCAAGAAAUGUAGCUUUAUAUCCACUACUGGGCAAAGACAUAGAGAAGGGAUGGUGAUGGUGAUGGAGGGUCUCCAGGGGAAUUACGAGAGUUGUGGUGGUGUCUCACUGGGCAUUGGCGAGGGAAAAGAUCCCACUCACAUGAUUGGCAGGCCUGGGCAAAGCUAGUAUGGACAGUCUCUAAAGUACUCUCAGAUGGAAGUAUUCAUGGAGCAGUUUUGAUAUGGUUUGGCUGUGUCCCCACCCAAAUCUCAUCUUGAAUUGUAGUUCACAUAA
Long non-coding RNA from Sapajus apella (tufted capuchin), 1401 nucleotides. RefSeq lists it as uncharacterized. Lineage: Eukaryota; Metazoa; Chordata; Mammalia; Primates; Cebidae. The transcript has 3 exons. The record is from RefSeq and is a predicted model, not a curated record.